RNAcentral lists this ribosomal RNA (305 nucleotides) under uncultured bacterium. RNAcentral's name for it is "partial 16S ribosomal RNA". It matches the Rfam family "Bacterial small subunit ribosomal RNA", at positions 505 to 809 of the family's 1533-position model. The record is from RNAcentral.
ACAGCAGCAGCCGCGGUAAAACGUAGGUCCCGAGCGUUGUCCGGAUUUAUUGGGCGUAAAGGGAGCGCAGGCGGUUUAGUAAGUCUGAAGUUAAAGGCAUUGGCUCAACCAAUGUAUGCUUUGGAAACUGUUUAACUUGAGUGCAGAAGGGGAGAGUGGAAUUCCAUGUGUAGCGGUGAAAUGCGUAGAUAUAUGGAGGAACACCGGUGGCGAAGGCGACUUUCUGGACGAAAACUGACGCUGAGGCGCGAAAGCCAGGGGAGCGAACGGGAUUAGAUACCCCAGUAGUCCCUGUCUCUUAUACA